This 503-nucleotide ribosomal RNA is filed under the name uncultured bacterium. RNAcentral's name for it is "partial 16S ribosomal RNA". It matches the Rfam family "Bacterial small subunit ribosomal RNA", at positions 30 to 523 of the family's 1533-position model. The record is from RNAcentral.
AUUGAACGCUGGCGGCAGGCUUAACACAUGCAAGUCGAGCGGGGUGAUGGUGCUUGCACUAUCACUUAGCGGCGGACGGGUGAGUAAUGCUUAGGAAUCUGCCUAUUAGUGGGGGACAACAUCUCGAAAGGGAUGCUAAUACCGCAUACGUCCUACGGGAGAAAGCAGGGGAUCACUUGUGACCUUGCGCUAAUAGAUGAGCCUAAGUCGGAUUAGCUAGUUGGUGGGGUAAAGGCCUACCAAGGCGACGAUCUGCAGCGGGUCUGAGAGGAUGAACCGCCACACUGGGACGGAGACACGGGCCAGACUCCUACGGGAGGCAGCAGUGGGGGAUAUUGGACAAUGGGGGGAACCCUGAUCCAGCCAUGCCGCGUGUGUGAAGAAGGCCUUAUGGUUGUAAAGCACUUUAAGCGAGGAGGAGGCUCUUUUGGUUAAUACCCAAGAUGAGUGGACGUUACUCGCAGAAUAAGCACCGGCUAACUCUGUGCCAGCCGCCGCCGUAA